Molecule: ribosomal RNA, 408 nt
Filed under: uncultured Pseudomonas sp.
Lineage: Bacteria; Pseudomonadati; Pseudomonadota; Gammaproteobacteria; Pseudomonadales; Pseudomonadaceae
Description: bacterial SSU rRNA
Rfam family: Bacterial small subunit ribosomal RNA
Source: RNAcentral
UGGCGGACGGGUGAGAAAUACAUCGGAAUCUACUCUGUCGUGGGGGAUAACGUAGGGAAACUUACGCUAAUACCGCAUACGACCUACGGGUGAAAGCAGGGGACCUUCGGACCUUGCGCGAUUGAAUGAGCCGAUGUCGGAUUAGCUAGUUGGCGGGGUAAAGGCCCACCAAGGCGACGAUCCGUAGCUGGUCUGAGAGGAUGAUCAGCCACACUGGAACUGAGACACGGUCCAGACUCCUACGGGAGGCAGCAGUGGAGAAUCUUGCACAAUGGGGGAAACCCUGAUGGAGCGAUGCCGCGUGCAGGAAGACGCUUUUCGGAGUGUAAACUGCUUUUAAUAGGGAAGAUUAUGACGGUACCUAUAGAAUAAGCACCGGCAAACUCUGUGCCAGCAGCCGCGGUAAUA